UACGGCCGUAUCACGUUGAAACACCGGUUCUCGUACCAUCAACGAAGUUAAGCUACGUCGAACCUGGUCAGUGCUUAUUUAGGAGACCACCUGGGAAUACCAGAGGCUGUAAG
Acanthosepion pharaonis is the source of this 113-nucleotide non-coding RNA. NCBI's taxonomy places the organism in Eukaryota, Metazoa, Mollusca, Cephalopoda, Sepiida, Sepiidae. The record is from the annotation of a GenBank genome assembly.